AUGAAACCACUAAAGAAAAUGCAUCUUCAAUUCUUAUUCCUAUUCAAUGUCAUACUAGGUUCUUCUACCCCUCAUCAUAAUCACACCAAUAUCAAAACUCAACCACCUUUCUCUACUUCAAAUAUUUCAAUCCCUUCUCUCUUAAGGAUAACUGUUAACAUUCCCAAUCAUGUACCACAGAUUUGCAAAGGGUGUCAAGAGCCUAAUGGUAGCUGUAAUGCUGGCUUGAACUGUUUGUGUCAUCCAAAAGAAUGCAAAGACAAGGUGAUCUCCAAGGUUGGGUCCAUCAAAUCUACUGGUUCUGUGUUUUUCUCUUUGAUUUCUUUCAUUGCUACCAUAGCCUUUCUCAUGUAA
Molecule: non-coding RNA, 354 nt
Organism: Vicia faba (fava bean)
Lineage: Eukaryota; Viridiplantae; Streptophyta; Magnoliopsida; Fabales; Fabaceae
Source: the annotation of a GenBank genome assembly